This 731-nucleotide ribosomal RNA is filed under the name uncultured fungus. Its description in RNAcentral is "eukaryotic LSU rRNA". It matches the Rfam family "Eukaryotic large subunit ribosomal RNA", at positions 24 to 664 of the family's 3401-position model. Lineage: Eukaryota; Fungi. The record is from RNAcentral.
CCCGCUGAACUUAAGCAUAUCAAUAAGCGGAGGAAAAGAAACUAACAAGGAUUCCCCUAGUAACUGCGAGUGAAGCGGGAAGAGCUCAAAUUUAAAAUCUGGGAGGCUUGUCUCUCCGAAUUGUAGUUUAAAGAGGUGUUAUCUGGUCCUUGGCCGGUGCUCAAGUCCCUUGGAAUAGGGCGUCACAGAGGGUGAGAACCCCGUCUGGGCACUGGUCAAAGGCCUCUAUGAGGCACUCUCUACGAGUCGGGUUGUUUGGGAAUGCAGCUCAAAAUGGGUGGUAAAUUUCAUCUAAGGCUAAAUACUGGCAAGAGACCGAUAGCGAACAAGUACCGUGAGGGAAAGAUGAAAAGCACCUUGAAAAGGGAGUUAAAUAGUGCGUGAAAUUGUUAAAAGGGAAACGAUUGAGACCAGUAUUGCUGCUGGCUUUGAGCUGCGCAUUGGUGCAAGCCUGUGCGUAGUGUAGCAGCCAGUGGCGAGUCAGCGUCAGUUUGGGCUUCCGGAGAGAGGCUGGAGGAAGAUGGGAUUGGCUUUCGGGCUAAUCUUUUAUAGACUCUGGCUGGCACGGGAGCCCGGACUGAGGUGAGCGACCGUAGUACUCUUGGCUUGAGACCACUCCCCAAGGGUAAGGACUGCACGCAGACCUUGCCUGCAAGGAAGGGAGGUAGGGCUAUGCAUACGGUUCCAGGAUGCUGACGAAAUGGUCUUAAACGACCCGUCUUGAAACACGG